This 449-nucleotide ribosomal RNA is filed under the name uncultured prokaryote. RNAcentral's name for it is "bacterial SSU rRNA". It matches the Rfam family "Bacterial small subunit ribosomal RNA", at positions 355 to 796 of the family's 1533-position model. The record is from RNAcentral.
UGGGGAAUAUUGCACAAUGGGCGCAAGCCUGAUGCAGCCAUGCCGCGUGUAUGAAGAAGGCCUUCGGGUUGUAAAGUACUUUCAGUCGUGAGGAAGGCAUUAACGUUAAUAGCGUUAGUGUUUGACGUUAGCGACAGAAGAAGCACCGGCUAACUCCGUGCCAGCAGCCGCGGUAAUACGGAGGGUGCGAGCGUUAAUCGGAAUUACUGGGCGUAAAGCGCAUGCAGGUGGUUUGUUAAGUCAGAUGUGAAAGCCCGGGGCUCAACCUCGGAACCGCAUUUGAAACUGGCAGGCUAGAGUACUGUAGAGGGGGGUAGAAUUUCAGGUGUAGCGGUGAAAUGCGUAGAGAUCUGAAGGAAUACCAGUGGCGAAGGCGGCCCCCUGGACAGAUACUGACACUCAGAUGCGAAAGCGUGGGGAGCAAACAGGAUUAGAUACCCCCGUAGUCC